ACCUACGGGUGGCAGCAUCAGGGAAUCUUGCGCAAUGGGCGAAAGCCUGACGCAGCGACGCCGCGUGUGGGAUGAAGGUCUGCGGAUCGUAAACCACUGUCAGGCGGGAAGAAUAAUGACUGUACCGCCAGAGGAAGCCCCGGCUAACUACGUGCCAGCAGCCGCGGUAACACGUAGGGGGCCAGCGUUGUCCGGAAUUACUGGGCGUAAAGAGCGCGUAGGCUGUUUGGUAAGCGGAGGGUGAAAUUCCGGGGCUCAACCCCGGAGCUGCUCUCCGAACUGCCAGACUAGAGUUUGGGAGAGGGUAGUGGAAUUCCUGGUGUAGCGGUGGAAUGCGUAAAUAUCAGGAAGAACACCUGUGGCGAAGGCUGCUACCUGGAACAAUACUGACGCUGAGGCGCGAAAGCUAGGGGAGCGAACGGGAUUAGAUACCCGUGUAGUC
Molecule: ribosomal RNA, 442 nt
Filed under: uncultured bacterium
Lineage: Bacteria
Description: bacterial SSU rRNA
Rfam family: Bacterial small subunit ribosomal RNA
Source: RNAcentral